This 253-nucleotide ribosomal RNA is filed under the name uncultured bacterium. RNAcentral's name for it is "partial 16S ribosomal RNA". It matches the Rfam family "Bacterial small subunit ribosomal RNA", at positions 524 to 775 of the family's 1533-position model. The record is from RNAcentral.
UACGAAGGGGGCUAGCGUUGCUCGGAAUCACUGGGCGUAAAGGGUGCGUAGGCGGGUCUUUAAGUCAGGGGUGAAAUCCUGGAGCUCAACUCCAGAACUGCCUUUGAUACUGAGGAUCUUGAGUUCGGGAGAGGUGAGUGGAACUGCGAGUGUAGAGGUGAAAUUCGUAGAUAUUCGCAAGAACACCAGUGGCGAAGGCGGCUCACUGGCCCGAUACUGACGCUGAGGCACGAAAGCGUGGGGGAGCAAACAG